UCUGCGUAGUGUUCGCAAUAUUAUUUUAGUGGAGUAGUUGUUGACUGUUGUUAUUGCGAUAAUAUAAUAUUAUUCUAACCUUUAGGGUAUUUUUUUUUCCUUUCAUUGUUUAUGUUUGAGUCGAAGUAACAGUAUUCCACUGAAGCACUUCUUUUAUACAUCACAUUCUUCGCUGUGAUUAUCCACAUCAUCGACAAACACUUUAUUUGAACAGGCGGACGGCAUAAUGUUAUACAGACACGAAUGUCCAAAAUGACACGUAGCACAAAUGCCGCCGACCAUAUUAUAAUAUAUUUUUAUUAUUUUAUGUAUACGUUGGCCGCAGUGGACCAUUAUCGGAAUCGCAUCAAUGCAGACAGAGGUUGUGUCGAAAUGUCAACUGAAUUGAUGACUUCACAGCCACGUGGAUACCUACACACAACAAUAUACUUAAAAUAUAUUGUUAUCAUCUAUCGAUUGUGGUACUCUGAUCGUGAUAACAACAAUAAAAGCGAAAACGCCGUUUCGUCAAUACAACGACCGAACUAUUAUUAUAUGAACCUACUACAGAUACCGAGUGUUUGCCAGACACGUUUUAUGUGUUCGAUUGCAGUGCAUAAUGGGACACAGACACGCCUCAGUCGAACGGGUUCAGAUGUUCACAAAUAAAAUAAUAUAGAGAUAGGCGACCUGUACGACCGAAAAAAAAAA
This is a long non-coding RNA of Myzus persicae (green peach aphid), 690 nucleotides long. RefSeq lists it as uncharacterized. The transcript has 2 exons. The record is from RefSeq and is a predicted model, not a curated record. NCBI's taxonomy places the organism in Eukaryota, Metazoa, Arthropoda, Insecta, Hemiptera, Aphididae.